RNAcentral lists this unclassified non-coding RNA (368 nucleotides) under fungal sp. RNAcentral's name for it is "partial internal transcribed spacer region". Lineage: Eukaryota; Fungi. The record is from RNAcentral.
AAGUCGUAACAAGGUUUCCGUAGGUGAACCUGCGGAAGGACGUAUCCACCCCUGUGGUCCCGUGCGCGUCUAUACAUGGAGCGGUAGAAACUACUCUGUGACCUGCGUGGUCACAAAGAAAAUGCAAAUUAAGUCAAUCGUGUUGUUCUGCGUGACCAACAUUGAAAGCUAAUUCAACCUGCGCGGUUGGGCCCAUUGACUCAUUGCGUUCGGUAAUACCAGCAUUCUGCGAGAAUGCAGUUCCAUGUAGCAGACGUUUUAACCAAACCUUUACUAAAUUGACUAAUGUAUAGAAGUAAGUAUGAUGCGCUCUGCUUUAUUUCGACUACGAAACGUAACAACUCUUAACAACGGAUAUCUUGGUUCUC